CCUGGACAUUUUUUUAAAAGACUUUAUUUAUUUAUUAUGUAUACAACAUUCUGCUUCCAUUCUUCCACCAGAAGAGGGCACCGGACCUCGUGACAGAUGGUUAUGAGCCACCAUGUGGUUGCUGGGAAUUGAACUCAGGACCUCUGGAAGAACAGUCGGUGCUCUUAACCGCUGAGCCAUCAUCUCUCCAACCCAUUCCCUGGACAUUUUAACAAACACGUGCAUUUACACAUAGGAACACUCACAUAAAACUCCCUUGCUCAUUCAUAGACAAGACCGAGUGCCCCCAUGCCUCUUGGAUUCAGUGUCACCAAGGAAAUUGCUGAUCUGCCAAAGAACUCUCCGGCGUUUUGUCUAUCUGUAUACCAUGUGCAUGCCUGUUGCCUGCAGAGCUCACCGGGGACAUUUCAGAACCAAAAAGUAACACCAAGGCCUGCCAACAGUCGCCAGAACUAG
This 456-nucleotide long non-coding RNA is filed under the name Cricetulus griseus (Chinese hamster). RNAcentral describes it as "lncRNA (ENSCGRG00000024540.1)". Lineage: Eukaryota; Metazoa; Chordata; Mammalia; Rodentia; Cricetidae. The record is from RNAcentral.